GAUGAACGCUAGCUACAGGCUUAACACAUGCAAGUCGAGGGGCAUCAGGAAGAAAGCUUGCUUUCUUUGCUGGCGACCGGCGCACGGGUGAGUAACACGUAUCCAACCUGCCCUUUACUCGGGGAUAGCCUUUCGAAAGAAAGAUUAAUACCCGAUAGCAUAAUGAUUCCGCAUGGUUUCAUUAUUAAAGGAUUCCGGUAAAGGAUGGGGAUGCGUUCCAUUAGGUUGUUGGUGAGGUAACGGCUCACCAAGCCUUCGAUGGAUAGGGGUUCUGAGAGGAAGGUCCCCCACAUUGGAACUGAGACACGGUCCAAACUCCUACGGGAGGCAGCAGUGAGGAAUAUUGGUCAAUGGGCGCUAGCCUGAACCAGCCAAGUAGCGUGAAGGAUGAAGGCUCUAUGGGUCGUAAACUUCUUUUAUAUAAGAAUAAAGUGCAGUAUGUAUACUGUUUUGUAUGUAUUAUAUGAAUAAGGAUCGGCUAACUCCGUGCCAGCAGCCGCGGUAAUACGGAGGAUCCGAGCGUUAUCCGGAUUUAUUGGGUUUAAAGGGAGCGUAGGUGGACUGGUAAGUCAGUUGUGAAAGUUUGCGGCUCAACCGUAAAAUUGCAGUUGAUACUGUCAGUCUUGAGUACAGUAGAGGUGGGCGGAAUUCGUGGUGUGGCGGUGAAAUGCUUAGAUAUCACGAAGAACUCCGAUUGCGAAGGCAGCUCACUGGACUGCAACUGACACUGAUGCUCGAAAGUGUGGGUAUCAAACAGG
RNAcentral lists this ribosomal RNA (758 nucleotides) under uncultured bacterium. RNAcentral's name for it is "bacterial SSU rRNA". It matches the Rfam family "Bacterial small subunit ribosomal RNA", at positions 28 to 776 of the family's 1533-position model. The record is from RNAcentral.